UACGUAGGGGGCGAGCGUUGUCCGGAAUUAUUGGGCGUAAAGGGCUCGUAGGCGGUUUGUCGCGUCGGGAGUGAAAACACCGGGCUUAACUCGGUGCUGGCUUUCGAUACGGGCAGACUAGAGGUAUGCAGGGGAGAACGGAAUUCCUGGUGUAGCGGUGAAAUGCGCAGAUAUCAGGAGGAACACCGGUGGCGAAGGCGGUUCUCUGGGCAUGUCCUGACGCUGAGGAGCGAAAGUGUGGGGAGCGAACAGG
This 253-nucleotide ribosomal RNA is filed under the name uncultured bacterium. Its description in RNAcentral is "partial 16S ribosomal RNA". It matches the Rfam family "Bacterial small subunit ribosomal RNA", at positions 524 to 776 of the family's 1533-position model. The record is from RNAcentral.